GAUGAACGCCGGCGGUGUGCCUAAUACAUGCAAGUCGUACGCACUGGCCCAACUGAUUGAUGGUGCUUGCACCUGAUUGACGAUGGAUCACCAGUGAGUGGCGGACGGGUGAGUAACACGUAGGUAACCUGCCCCGGAGCGGGGGAUAACAUUUGGAAACAGAUGCUAAUACCGCAUAACAACAAAAGCCACAUGGCUUUUGUUGAAAGAUGGCUUUGGCUAUCACUCUGGGAUGGACCUGCGGUGCAUUAGCUAGUUGGUAAGGUAACGGCUUACCAAGGCGAUGAUGCAUAGCCGAGUUGAGAGACUGAUCGGCCACAAUGGAACUGAGACACGGUCCAAAUCCUACGGGAGGCAGCAGUAGGGAAUCUUCCACAAUGGACGAAAGUCUGAUGAGCAACGCCGCGUGAGUGAAGAAGGGUUUCGGCUCGUAAAGCUCUGUUGGUAGUGAAGAAAGAUAGAGGUAGUAACUGGCC
RNAcentral lists this ribosomal RNA (476 nucleotides) under uncultured bacterium. RNAcentral describes it as "bacterial SSU rRNA". It matches the Rfam family "Bacterial small subunit ribosomal RNA", at positions 28 to 470 of the family's 1533-position model. The record is from RNAcentral.